This is an RNA transcript of Cebus imitator (Panamanian white-faced capuchin), 4524 nucleotides long. RefSeq lists it as uncharacterized. The transcript is spliced from 4 exons. The record is from RefSeq and is a predicted model, not a curated record. Lineage: Eukaryota; Metazoa; Chordata; Mammalia; Primates; Cebidae.
AAGGGGAAGAGGAGUUGGAAGGGGCCGGUGGAGUCAGGUGUCGAUUUGGCGCCCGCCGCUGCGGAGGGGACACUGCCCCGGACUGGUGCUGCCCAGGGAGCGUUCAGGGAGCGUGGGGCGCCGACCACUGCAGAUGCGGCGGCGCGCGUGGGCUCGGGCAGGCGCCCCCUUCUCCCGGGAUAGAAACUGAUAAACGGAAGCGCGUGUGAGUGUGGGGGUGCGAAUCGCCACCUCCGGCCUUGGCUUUCCCGCUCUUCCGAGCGCUCCCACUUCUCACUUUCCCCAAAUCCGCAUUUUCCUUGGCACAGCUCUCCCGGAGCACGAAGGAGAGGGAGGUACCCGGGGGCAGUGAGAAUGACGUGUGCUGGUGCAGAGGGGGUGGGGGGCUGCGGGCCUGGCUCUGUGGACCGGCUCCUAAUCCUCUUGUUUUCGGAACCGUCAGCAGAUGUGGCUUCCUUUACCUGAAUAAUCCUUUAAAGGAAUAAUUUUUAAAACGGAAUCGAUCUCACCCAAAGAGGACGGCGCACAAGAUUAGGGCUUGAUCUACUGCCUUUGGUUGGGCUGGCUGAAUCGCUGGGGAUUGCGGCCAGUCUCGUAAAAAGGAGAACAAAAAGCUGAAGACCUUGUGUGGCUGCCGGGACAAAGCACCUUGGGCUCAGGGAGAAGCGACGCGCAGGAGCCCUGGCCCCGGAACACGAGUGGCCGCUGCAGAAGGGCGUCCGCCCAGGCGUGCGGACCGCUGAGGGACUGCAGCGGGCGAGUUCCGGAAGGUUGAAUCCCCAGGUCCCGGCCCCAGACCGCGGCAGCUAGCGCCUGCGGCACGCCCGGCCCGGCUGCGCCUGCACUCAGCGAUUGAGGAAAAAGCCUGGAUGCGAAAGGAUGGGGGAGAACAAAGAGCCUUUGGAAGACGUCGCUGUUAUCUCAUUGUCUGUGUGAUUGGGGGAGCUGCGGCGGGGAGGAUGCUGUGGUCCCUUCCUCCGGCGCUCCCCCACCCCCAUCCCUCUCCCCGCUGUCAGUGCGCAAGUACACGCGCCGCUUUUUAUUUCUUUUUCCUCGUUUUCUUAUUCCAUCUUCUACCCACCCCCGCUUCCUUUCUUUCACCUUUCCUUCCUUCCUUCGUCCUUUCCUUCCUCAGGAGAAAGGCCUCUCUCUCCGUGUUCACAGCGGACCUUGAUUUAAAUGUCCAUACAAUUAAGGCACGCGGUGAAUGCCAAGAAUGGGGCUGGCUGAGCACCUUGGGUCCACAAGGGCCCGCCAAGGAAGGAGCCACCGACCGAGCCGGGCGCCCUCCGCAGACCUCCGCGCAGCGGCUGCGGGCGUGAGGGGAGGGGUCUCGAGCUUUCUCCGGCUGCGGAUCCCGAUCCCGUGGGGUGGGGAGGUGUGCAGCCUGUGACAGACAGGGUCUUAAAGAUGCAAACAGACUCAGGGAAAGAAACAGAAGCUGAUUCUGUGACAGAAGUAGAUCUGUGCAGCACAGAUGCGGUGUGCGUGGGGUGGGGGUCGUCUGGGAGCGCAUUGCGGAGUGCUUGUGUGUGCAGAUUUUUCUCUGGGCUCAGGACUCAUUGUAUGUGGGUCGACACCUUUCUCCGUGGCUGUGUUUUUGUUCUGAGCUUAGUUUUUUGGUUUGGCCUUUAAAAAAAAAAAUAAUUUGGCAUCCAGAGACUGGCAGACUGCUCCAGGGCCUGGACUGCGGAUAUAUUGUGUUCUGCUUGAGGUUUGGAGAGGAGGGCAAGGGGUUGCAAGGGAGAGGGGAACCUGUUUGUCACCCUUUGCUGUAGAGCUGAGAGCACCUGACAAGCUUAAGAAGUCGUUGGGCUAGGUGGACAAGAAGGAGCCAGCUCCCGGCAGGUUCACAAGCUCCUUCUGAGCUGAAAGCCUGGCCAUAGCUCUAAGGAGCACCUCACGCCUUCCCUGUAGCUGUUAUUGUAGUUUCAGGCAGAGAUCCAGGAGCUGCAGAGGAAGAGAGAGGCACAAUAACCUACACGGACCCCAGGGAAGCAUGUGUUCCUUUAAAAAUGUGAACAGAAGGAAACACAGAAUGUGUGCAAGUGGGGGUCUGAGGAAAGACUGUUUUGAAAGAAACUGUCAGGGAAUGGAAAGGGUUAAGCCUCCCUCAUCCUGAAGAACCUGCUUCCCAAAUCAGGCCUUCCUCCCAUCACUAGACCCUGAGCAGCAGCUGGUCCUAGAGACCCCCCUCGUCCUGCGCUGCCACAAUUUCAUCCCAUUUCCAGCUCUGUAUUAACCACCAAGCUACAGCGGAUGGGGCAAGACCUAAGCUCAUUAAUUUCCAGGUGGAGGAUAUGGAGGAGGGGCAGGUCCCUGCAGCAGAGGGAGGAGCAGAGAAAAGAGGCCAAGAGCUGGAUCCUCUGCCCAGGAAGCCUGCUGCAUCCCUUCCCCCGAGCAUGGCAGAGGCCUGGCUUUGCAAGGCCAAGGCCAUAAGGGAUGCUUAGGAGAUUAAUUUGAUUCCUGACACAGCAACCAAGGCCUAAGAGUCUCCACGGAAGCUUACUAAGGACUUCUUUCCUCUCCAAAGCCUCAGUCUAGCCGCUUAAAUAAACUAGCAUUCAGUGAUGCCUUGAACCAAGGCCCCUCCCUAACCUCAGUGCCCCCAAAUAUUUAUUGAGUACCUACUAUGUGCAAUCCUUGUGUAAUUAUUACCUCUUAGGCUCUUCAUUUGGCCUCCUAAGGGAGUGUUUAGAAUCAGGCAGAGGCUAAGUGUGUUGCACCCCACCUAGAUACUUCCAGAACCUUCUCUGGGUCUGCAGAAUGUGCCACAACCUGCUUGCUCCUGCAGAGAGAAAGCUGCAGUGCACAUCCUGCAGACUGCAGGUGCUGGGCUACCUCUGGAGUCCCAGAAGGCAAGCUUGGCUGCAGGACAGAAAGGGAGAACAGCUUCUCACCCCUGCGCCUUAACAAGCCUUGGCUAGCCGCCACUGCCUUUAAAAUAUACAUCCCUUGAAAUUGGUAGCUUCCUAAGUCCUGGGGUCCCUGCCGCCCUUUCUGGACAGGUUCAGGAAGAAGAAAGCAGUCAAUAUUGGGCCUCAUUGGGGUGUAAAGCCCCUUGCUCUGCCCUCUCUGCUCACUGUGAAGGCUGCUGAAUGCUUCUUUUAAGCAUGGUUUAAGCCUCUGAUUACUAAACCCUUUGCCCCACAAAUGUCCACACUGGAGAGCCUCUUUUCAGUAAUUGCUUCUCCGUAAUACCUUCAGAGGUUGCUGUACCCUUCACUGAUGUGCCCUCUGGUCAAAUCUCCAGAUGCCUCCCCACGUAAUGCCCCUUUCAGAUGCUUUAAGCUGAGAGCUUAAACUGCAGGUACCAUGGCCGCCGCCUGCCAGGUUUCUGCUUUGGAUAAUCGAUGAUGGGAGGGGCAUAUUUUUUACUUCAUUACUUAUAUAAACUCUUGCUCCAGAAAGCGUUCACGUGUGUGGGCAUGUUCUGGAUCUGCUAGGUCUGCGUGCAUGGGUGUAGGUAUUUGCCUGUGUCCGCCAGGUGGGUCUCAUUACAAAAUGUAUGUCUAUGUAGGGCUUUAAUGGCCGAAAAUGGCAAAGAGAUGAAUGGACAACUUGGCCCCAUGUGUAAUUGCGAGGCCCCUUCUGUGCUCAAACAAGUUGUCCCCGUGAAGGUCAGCCCUUUCCUUCUGUGUUUGGGGCCUAUUUAUACCACGUCAUUUUACAAGAAACCUGAAAAUGUCUCCCCUUUGAGGGCAUUUAACUCUUUAGCAUCUUCUUUUCUUCCCUAUUUGAGCCCCUCUAACUACAGUCUGUGGCUUACAUGAAAGGGGAAUUAUAUGGUUAGGAAAAAGUAGGACAGUGCUGACUGAAUGCGCAAAGAAGGCCCUGAUGGGUUUAUACACACCACCACCAUCACAGUCCUGCGAACUAAUAUGAUUCUUGUGGUAACUGUACCAGAUACUUUCAGAUUUAGAAAUGUAUCAAAGGAAAAAUUGGUAAUACUCUUCUUUCCCCACCAGUGACAGCCCAGAUCUCCGCUUAAGCGGAAAAGAGAUUGACCUUCUAACAGAGGCAAAGGUAAACUCCUGUAAGUUACUUCUGUCACCAAAGGGAGGGGGCGGCUUUUGUGAAUGUAUGAGGAGCUUCUGCCAGAGAAAUUUUUGGGGGAGGGGUGUGCCCAUGUGCACACAUAUGUACAUACAUUUCCCCACAUAACCAUAUCCAGUGCCAGCAUUUAGAGGAAGGCAUGUAGCCACCAAAAGUCCAUCCACCUAUGCUGCUUCCACAGGGAAAUCAUUUUCUCUUUCCUGCUCUUGAACUUACAUAAUACCCCCUCCCAUUCCAACCUGAGAAUGGAGCCUUUUGGGGGCAGCUGCAAAGCAGUUCUCCCUGGGACAGAUGGAGCCGCCCUUUCCGCAUCUACUCUGUGGGUGGUUUCAGGGCCCAUGAGUCAACACGAGGCGUUGUGCUGGGGGUAUGUGUGUUGGAGGCUGAGCUGGCUGAUUCACAGUGACAAGGAUGUCAAUAGUAACAAGAAUGAGAAUGAUGGUACCUAAUAAAGAAUUUUUUCCUCCA